ACUCCUACGGGAGGCAGCAGUGGGGAAUAUUGCACAAUGGGGGGAAACCCUGAUGCAGCCAUGCCGCGUGUGUGAAGAAGGCCUUCGGGUUGUAAAGCACUUUCAGUAGGGAGGAAGGUAGUGUAGUUAACACCUGCACUAUUUGACGUUACCUACAGAAGAAGCACCGGCUAACUCCGUGCCAGCAGCCGCGGUAAUACGGAGGGUGCGAGCGUUAAUCGGAAUUACUGGGCGUAAAGCGCAUGCAGGCGGCCUGUUAAGUCAGAUGUGAAAGCCCGGGGCUUAACCUCGGAAUUGCAUUUGAAACUGGCAGGCUAGAGUCUUGUAGAGGGGGGUAGAAUUUCAGGUGUAGCGGUGAAAUGCGUAGAGAUCUGAAGGAAUACCAGUGGCGAAGGCGGCCCCCUGGACAAAGACUGACGCUCAGAUGCGAAAGCGUGGGGAGCAAACAGGAUUAGAUACCCUGGUAGCGUCGUC
This 474-nucleotide ribosomal RNA is filed under the name uncultured bacterium. RNAcentral's name for it is "bacterial SSU rRNA". It matches the Rfam family "Bacterial small subunit ribosomal RNA", at positions 335 to 798 of the family's 1533-position model. The record is from RNAcentral.